ACUCUCUCAUGCUGCAGUUCCCUCCCAGACUUAACAAGACUCCAGGAAGGGUCUUUCAAAGUGGAAACCAAAGACUCCAGAUGAGACAUUGAAAAUUAAUACCACAAACUUUGCUCUCCUGUAGCCCCAGAGUGAGUGGGCGAAGAUAAGGCCCUGUGUGAUGCCAUGUGGAGAGAAGGCCAGUGGAGCAGAAUGGACAGCCUUGUAAAAUUACCAAGUUCAAGAAGAUGUUGCACACAGCAAGAAAAUAAAAUGAAAAAAUGCUUCAAUACCAUGG
This 277-nucleotide long non-coding RNA is filed under the name Equus caballus (horse). Its description in RNAcentral is "lncRNA (ENSECAG00000057004.1)". The record is from RNAcentral. Lineage: Eukaryota; Metazoa; Chordata; Mammalia; Perissodactyla; Equidae.